RNAcentral lists this ribosomal RNA (906 nucleotides) under uncultured marine archaeon. RNAcentral's name for it is "SSU rRNA". It matches the Rfam family "Archaeal small subunit ribosomal RNA", at positions 455 to 1367 of the family's 1478-position model. The record is from RNAcentral.
GUGCCAGCCGCCGCGGUAAUACCGGCAGCUCGAGUGGUCGUGGCUUUUAUUGGGCCUAAAACGUCCGUAGCCUGUUUGGUAAAUCUGUGGGUAAAUCAACGAGCUUAACUCGUUGAAUUCUGCAGAGACUGCCAGACUAGGGACCGGGAGAGGUAUGAGGUACUCUGGGGGUAGGGGUAAAAUCCUGUCAUCCUCAGAGGACCACCUGUGGCGAAGGCGUCAUACUGGUACGGAUCCGACGGUCAGGGACGAAGCCUAGGGGCGCGACCUGUUUUAGAUACCCGGGUAGUCCUAGGUGUAAACGCCGUGGCUUUUUAGUGGGGUCCGCAAUGGGCCCCCGGUGCCGGAGUGAAGAUGUUAAGUUCACUGCCUGGGGAGUACGGUCGCAAGGCUGAAAUUAAAGGAAUUGGCGGGGGAGCACUGCAACGGGAGGAGCGUGCGGUUUAAUUGGAUUCAACGCCGGAAAACUCACCAGGGCCGACUGUUAGAUGAAGACCAGUGUAAUGAACUUGUCGGAUUUUCAGAGAGGUGGUGCAUGGCCGUCGUCAGUUCGUACUGUAAAGCGUUCUGUUAAGUCAGAUAACGAACGAGACCCUCAUCUCUAUUUGCUACCCGUCUCUCCGGAGGCGGCGCACUAUAGGGAGACCGCUGGUGUUAAACCAGAGGAAGGCGAGGGCAACGACAGGUCAGUAUGCCCCGAAUGCCCUGGGCUACACGCGCGCUACAAAGGACGGGACAAUGGGAAGCUAGGCCGAGAGGCCACGCUAGCCCGAAACCCGUUCGUAGAGAGGAUUGAGGGCUGUAACUCGCCCUCAUGAAGCUGGAUUCCGUAGUAAUCGUGUUUCAACAUAGCACCGCGUUUUUGCCCCUGCUCCUUGCACUCACCGCCCGUCAAGGGUUUUUUUU